UACGAAGGGUGCAAGCGUUACUCGGAAUUACUGGGCGUAAAGCGUGCGUAGGCGGUUCGUUAAGUCCGUUGUGAAAGCCCUGGGCUCAACCUGGGAAUUGCAGUGGAUACUGGCGAGCUAGAGUACGGUAGAGGAUGGUGGAAUUCCCGGUGUAGCGGUGAAAUGCGUAGAGAUCGGGAGGAACACCCGUGGCGAAGGCGGCCAUCUGGACCAGUACUGACGCUGAGGCACGAAAGCGUGGGGAGCAAACAGG
This 253-nucleotide ribosomal RNA is filed under the name uncultured bacterium. RNAcentral's name for it is "partial 16S ribosomal RNA". It matches the Rfam family "Bacterial small subunit ribosomal RNA", at positions 524 to 776 of the family's 1533-position model. The record is from RNAcentral.